UACGUAGGGUGCGAGCGUUGCCCGGAUUUAUUGGGCGUAAAGGGCGCGCAGGCGGCUACGCACGUCCGUUGUGAAAUCGCUCGGCUCAACUGGGCGGGGUCAGCGGAUACGGCGUAGCUGGAGCAAGCUAGGGGGCAAUGGAAUUCCUGGUGUAGCGGUGAAAUGCGCAGAUAUCAGGAGGAACACCGGUGGCGAAGGCGGAUCUCUGGGCCGUAACUGACGCUGAGGAGCGAAAGCAUGGGGAGCGAACAGG
RNAcentral lists this ribosomal RNA (253 nucleotides) under uncultured bacterium. RNAcentral describes it as "partial 16S ribosomal RNA". It matches the Rfam family "Bacterial small subunit ribosomal RNA", at positions 524 to 776 of the family's 1533-position model. The record is from RNAcentral.